RNAcentral lists this ribosomal RNA (495 nucleotides) under uncultured bacterium. RNAcentral's name for it is "partial 16S ribosomal RNA". It matches the Rfam family "Bacterial small subunit ribosomal RNA", at positions 28 to 507 of the family's 1533-position model. The record is from RNAcentral.
GACGAACGCUGGCGGCGUGCCUAAUACAUGCAAGUAGAACGCUGAAGGAGGAGCUUGCUUCUCUGGAUGAGUUGCGAACGGGUGAGUAACGCGUUGGUAACCUGCCUGGUAGCGGGGGAUAACUAUUGGAAACGAUAGCUAAUACCGCAUAAGAGUAGAUGUUGCAUGACAUUUGCUUAAAAGGUGCAAUUGCAUCACUACCAGAUGGACCUGCGUUGUAUUAGCUAGUUGGUGAGGUAACGGCUCACCAAGGCAACGAUACAUAGCCGACCUGAGAGGGUGAUCGGCCACACUGGGACUGAGACACGGCCCAGACUCCUACGGGAGGCAGCAGUAGGGAAUCUUCGGCAAUGGACGGAAGUCUGACCGAGCAACGCCGCGUGAGUGAAGAAGGCUUUCGGAUCGUAAAGCUCUGUUGUAAGAGAAGAACGAGUGUGAGAGUGGAAAGUUCACACUGUGACGGUAUCUUACCAGAAAGGGACGGCUAACUACGUG